AUUGAACGAUGGCGGCAGGCCUAACACAUGCAAGUCGAGCGAGCGGCGGACGGGUGAGUAAUGUAUGGGGAAAGGCCGAUAGAGGGGGAUAACUCCUGGAAAAGGUGGCUAAUAUCGCAUAAUGUCGGAGAACGCAUAUGGGAUUAGCUAGUAGGGAAGGUAAGGGCGUACCUAGGCGACGAUCCCUAGCUGGGCUGAGAGGAUGACCAGCCACACUGGGACUGAGACACGGCCCAGACUCCUACGGAGGCAGCAGUGGGGAAUAUUGCACAAUGGGCGCAAGCCUGAUGCAGCCAUGCCGCGUGUAUGAAGAAGGCCCUAGGGUUGUAAAGUACUUUCAGUCGGGAGGCGUUACCGACAGAAGAAGCACCGGCUAACUCCGUGCCAGCAGCCGCGGUAAUUC
This 403-nucleotide ribosomal RNA is filed under the name uncultured bacterium. Its description in RNAcentral is "partial 16S ribosomal RNA". It matches the Rfam family "Bacterial small subunit ribosomal RNA", at positions 29 to 526 of the family's 1533-position model. The record is from RNAcentral.